This 459-nucleotide long non-coding RNA is filed under the name Volvox carteri. RNAcentral describes it as "long non-coding RNA (VCAR_LNC000259)". Lineage: Eukaryota; Viridiplantae; Chlorophyta; Chlorophyceae; Chlamydomonadales; Volvocaceae. The record is from RNAcentral.
CAAAGCAACAACACGCAGACUAAGUGGAGAAACCGGUGGAAAGCCCACACGAUCCAUGACAAGGAGUGACGUGACGGCGUGCGAAGCUAGUAGGUGGUGGUCAGGAAAAGACGAAGAUGGUGGUGGUGGUGGUCAGGAAAAGACGAAGAAGGAAACCCCCCGUUAGCAGACCACCAUGUCAUGCAGCACGUCAUGUCAUUCGCUGUCCGAAGUCCGAAAAUUUUGCCGCCCGACGGGAUAAUUCUUCUAGUUGUCCAUUACUGGACGAUGAUCUUGCCCACCAUGCCGGCACCCUGGUGCGGCUCGCAGUAGUAGCCGUACUCGCCCGGCGUGUCCAGCUUCACGCUGUACUUCUCCCCGGGGGCGUUCAGGAGGUCGUCGCGCGAGAUGGCAUCAGCGUUCACACCGGCCUGCGGGCAGGGAGAUGGUGAGCGGAAAUGAGAUCACUCAGAUUAGUCA